Molecule: ribosomal RNA, 253 nt
Filed under: uncultured bacterium
Lineage: Bacteria
Description: partial 16S ribosomal RNA
Rfam family: Bacterial small subunit ribosomal RNA
Source: RNAcentral
GACGAACCGUGCGAACGUUGUUCGGAUUCACUGGGCUUAAAGGGCGCGUAGGCGGGCGACCAAGUCCGGGGUGAAAUCUUUCGGCUCAACCGGAAGAGUGCCUUGGAUACUGGUUGCCUCGAGGGAGGUAGGGGCAUGCGGAACUUCCGGUGGAGCGGUGAAAUGCGUAGAUAUCGGAAGGAACGCCGGUGGCGAAAGCGGCGUGCUGGACCUCUUCUGACGCUGAGGCGCGAAAGCCAGGGGAGCGAGCGGG